Molecule: ribosomal RNA, 429 nt
Filed under: uncultured bacterium
Lineage: Bacteria
Description: bacterial SSU rRNA
Rfam family: Bacterial small subunit ribosomal RNA
Source: RNAcentral
UGGGGAAUUUUUCGCAAUGGGGGAAACCCUGACGAAGCAACGCCGCGUGGAGGAUGAAGGCCUUCGGGUCGUAAACUCCUGUCGACCGGGAAGAAUGCACCUGACCUAAUACGUCGGCGUGUUGACUGUACCGGUGGAGGAAGCCACGGCUAACUCUGUGCCAGCAGCCGCGGUAAUACAGAGGUGGCAAGCGUUGUUCGGAAUUACUGGGCGUAAAGGGCGCGUAGGCGGCCCGUCAAGUCCCGUGUGAAAGCCCCCGGCUCAACCGGGGAACGGCGCGGGAAACUAGCAGGCUUGAGUUCGGGAGAGGGAAGCGGAAUUCCGGGUGUAGCGGUGAAAUGCGCAGAUAUCCGGAGGAACACCGGUGGCGAAGGCGGCUUCCUGGACCGACACUGACGCUGAGGCGCGAAAGCUAGGGGAGCAAACGGG